Molecule: ribosomal RNA, 393 nt
Filed under: uncultured bacterium
Lineage: Bacteria
Description: partial 16S ribosomal RNA
Rfam family: Bacterial small subunit ribosomal RNA
Source: RNAcentral
AUACGGAGGAUGCGAGCGUUAUCCGGAUUUAUUGGGUUUAAAGGGUGCGUAGGCUGUGCGUUAAGUCAGGGGUGAAAUGCCGUCGCUCAACGACGGAGCUGCCCUUGAUACUGGCGUGCUGGAGUACUGAUGCCGUUGGAGGAAUGAGUGGUGUAGCGGUGAAAUGCUUAGAUAUCACUCAGAACACCGAUUGCGAAGGCAUCUGACGAAUCCGUCACUGACGCUGAGGCACGAAAGCGUGGGGAUAGAACAGGAUUAGAUUCCCUGGUAUUCCACGCCGUAAACGAUGAUGACUAACCGUCGGCGAUAGACAGCCGGUGGCCAAGCGAAAGCGAUAAGUCAUCCACCUGGGGAGUACGUCGGCAACGAUGAAACUCAAAUGAAUUGACGGGG